GUGUGAUACAAGUGAGGCAUAGAAUCUUUGACAGGGGUAAAAGAAUAUCAGAUCAGAUGCAAUCCAAUCUUUGUAAUGACUUGACUAAAAUCUCGUCCUUCCGUUUCAACGUAUCUAUGGUCCCCAGCUUCUCUUUUCCGAUUUCUGACAGCACUGCAUAUUUAAAAUUCCUUACAUUAUGGCUGUAUGAGAAAUGUAUUAUCCUCUGAUAGCUACAGACAGAUACACCUUCGUUUCACUCGUACUUGUCAUCUGCAUAGUUUUCGAACCUUAUUCCAGGAAUGUAUGGUGGAAUUCUUUUCCAUCUGAUGCGGAUUUGAGGAAUCCCACUAUCUACGAUGUCCUGAAACAUUUCUAGUCAUUUUUUUUAAAUGGAAGAUUCUGUUGACAAAAGCACCCAGUCAGCAAUUUUGCUACAAUCCUUCUGAGGGGGACAAAUAAUUAACAAUACCAGUGACUUGAUGCUCCUUGUUAAACUCUUUCAAGUCCAAAUUUGGGAACGCACACACCGUGCUGAUUGGCCGUGGCUACACGUGUUCGUAUUGGCUGAAACCAAACCGGAAUGAUAAAAACGACCACGGGAUGCUAUUCGGUGCAGGAAAGCGCGAGAUUCCAAGGGAAUGGAAUAUCGGAAUCUUAACUCAAAGUAAAGGUGACGAGCCAGAUUCUCAAGUCAAGAAUGUUGCUUAUUCUUUCCUGCUCAAGGCCACAAAAAAUGGGUUCUUUCUCUCCCUUUCCAUUCUUUAUUCUUUAUGCUUAACAGUUUCAGAUUCCUUGCACCAAACAUUUAUGGCUUGAUUAUUUACCUGAUAAGCAGAGUUUCUUUUUCCCAGAAUAUUUGGAGUUAUAUAUUUUUUUGGUUAAUUCUUUCA
Salvia splendens (bonfire salvia) is the source of this 872-nucleotide long non-coding RNA. RefSeq lists it as uncharacterized. The transcript has 2 exons. The record is from RefSeq and is a predicted model, not a curated record. NCBI's taxonomy places the organism in Eukaryota, Viridiplantae, Streptophyta, Magnoliopsida, Lamiales, Lamiaceae.